Molecule: long non-coding RNA, 1103 nt
Organism: Triticum aestivum (bread wheat)
Lineage: Eukaryota; Viridiplantae; Streptophyta; Magnoliopsida; Poales; Poaceae
Exons: 4
Source: RefSeq, a predicted model, not a curated record
UUCCCACAAAAGAUGUCGCACAGAAGCUAUUGCCCCAUACUUGGUGGCCACCCCCUUCCAGGCGCAUCCGGCUCCACGACAAGCCCAUGGAGUACUUCGACGACCUCGCCGAGAUGUACGUGGGCAGGAACGUAUCCCCCUGGCCUCUACGGCUGGGUGUUCCCCAAGUGCGACCACAUCGCCAUCGAAACCAGCACCAUCACAGCGAUGUCCGGCCGGCUUGAGCUGCUGCAGGCAGGAGAGAGAAGGAACAAAGGAAGAAGUCAGUGAGCAUUCUCUUCUUUCGUUCAGUUUAUUUCUCUGAUGGGGCUGAAAACUACUAUGAAGGGAAAAGCUCAUUGUUUCUGCUUUGAAGCGGCAUACAUUUCUGCAUGAUUACAACGUGGUUGAACAGGACAGUAGUAACCUCAUACUGCUAAAGUUGAUUGCUCAGCCCAUGACGCCGACUAUUCUUGGUGCCCUCCAGAUUUUCUGGUAUCAAGAGAUAUAUAUGGAGGAAAUGACUAUGUAAUAUAUUUACAAAAAUACUUCCAAAACCAUAAGGUGGACUAAAGAGAGAUGCAGGGAAGAUAUAGAUACGAUCACAUGUGAGCACUGAUCAAAGUUGAGAUUUGAUGAGUCACACAGAAAUGUAUGUGCAAAUUUAUUUUUCAAAGACAUACAUGAGAAAUACAUGUUUCUUGCUUAACAACUCAUGCAAACUUCUGUUAUUGCUACUACCAUUGAUUGUUUUAGUUGUUGCAAUCCAAUGCAGAUUAUUUUGAUAGAAACUCUACAAUUUUUCGAUCUUUUGCAAGGCGAUGUUGGAUUGAGUGUUUUGAAUUGGAGUGAUCCAGACGUCAACAACAGUCGAGGAUCUCGAAGAUGGGCAUGAACAACCUACCACACCGAUGGGAGGAAGCUCAAAGAGGCAAAGAAAUUUCAGCGAUUAAAGACUGGACGUUGGAUGCAUAGAGAUAACUGAGGAUUCAGUCAUAGGAGUCGACCAAUCUCUUGCUUGUUAUUGGAAAGAAUCCAUGAUUCCUAUAGAAAAUAUGCUAUAUGCAAAUUUGGUAUGAAAAUAUAUUUCAUCAUGAAUCUAAUGAAGCAAAUUUGGUGUUGUA